RNAcentral lists this ribosomal RNA (518 nucleotides) under Coralliophila mira. RNAcentral describes it as "partial 12S ribosomal RNA". It matches the Rfam family "Bacterial small subunit ribosomal RNA", at positions 611 to 1384 of the family's 1533-position model. The record is from RNAcentral. Lineage: Eukaryota; Metazoa; Mollusca; Gastropoda; Neogastropoda; Muricidae.
AACCGGCAGACCAGGUCAUUUAUAACGGUAAAAUAGUAAAGGAAAUUUUAUUAUGCUUUCAAAACAGUAUUAUGAAGUGAAAUUCGAAUAUUUUUUAAAACCUUAAAAGCUCUGUCCGAAGCUAUGAAACCCUUGAGGGAAACUGGGAUUAGAUACCCCAUUAUUCCUGGGUAUAAAUAUUUUACCAGGGUACUACGAACAAUGUUUAAAACUCAAAGAGCUUGGCGGUGUUUUAGACCUCCCAGGGGAACCUGUCCCGUAAUCGAUGAUCCGCGUUAUACCUGACCUCACUUAUUUCGCUUGUAUACCGUCGUCUAGGUAACUUCCAAAAAGAAAAAAGUUAACUGGCAACAGAUAAGUGUUUGAUGUCAGAUCAAGGUGCAGCCUAUAGUGAGGGGAGGAUGGGUUACAAUUACUAACCAUAAAUACGAAUAAGAUUAAUUGAAAAAUCUCUUUUAAGGCGGACUUGGAAGUAAAAGCAUUAAGAUAAAUGCUUUGAACAAGGCUCUGAAAUGUGU